UUUCCGUAGGUGAACCUGCGGAAGGAUCAUUAAUAAAUUUUUAUUUCUGAAAAUUAUGAAAUAAAAAACAAUAAUCAUCCUACCCUUUGUGAAUUUGUUGUAAUGAAAUAAUUUUUUUUUUUAAAAGAAAAAAUUAUUUAUUUUUAGUCUAUCCCUGAAAAGUUUUGGAAGCAAUGAAGAAACUUUUUAGGGAGUAGAUUUUAAUAAAUAAUUAUUUUUUUUGAAAAGACCUUUUUUUAAAAUUAACUUUUUGUAUUCAUUUGUCUAAAAUUUUUUAAAUAAUAAUUUAAAAACAACUUUUGACAAUGGAUCUCUUGGUUCUCGCAACGAUGAAGAACGCAGCAAAAUGCGAUAAGUAAUGUGAAUUGCAGAAUACGUGAAUCAUCAAAUCUUCGAACGCAUAUUGCACUUUUUUAGUUUACUAAAAAAGUAUGUCUGUUUGAGUAUCAGUAAAAUAUUCUCAUAAAAAAAUUUAUUUUUUUUAUGGUUAAUGAGUGUUUUACAACGAUACAAGUUGUUUCACUUUAAAUUGAAUUUUAAAAUUGUUUUUUUAUUUUCAAUUUCUAAAAAAUUGGAUAAAAUUUUCCUGUAAAAAGGAAUAACCUUGACAAUUUUUUAAGCUGAAAUUAAGAAUUCAAUAGCAAAAGGAAAUUUAUUUAAAAAUAACUUGAUCUCAAAUCAGAUAAGAGUACCCGCUGAACUUAAGCAUAUCAAUAAGCGGAGGAAAAGAAACCAACAAGGAUUCCCCUAGUAACGGCGAGUGAAGCGGGAAGAGCUCAAAUUUGAAAUCUUAAAGGGUUUCCCUUUACGAAUUGUAGUUUAAAGAAGUGUUUUCUGUUGAAAUUUUGGUAAAAGUUCUUUGGAAUAGGACAUCAUAGAGGGUGAGAAUCCCGUAUUUGACCAUUAUCUUCAGCUAUGUGAUACACUUUCAAAAGAGUCGGAUUGUUUGGGAAUGCAGUCCAAAAUGGGUGGUAAAUUUCAUCUAAAGCUAAAUAUUGGCGAGAGACCGAUAGCGAACAAGUACCGUGAGGGAAAGAUGAAAAGAACUUUGAAAAGAGAGUUAAACAGUACGUGAAAUUGUCAAAAGGGAAGCGUUUGACACCAGUGUUGUUUCUCUGAAAAUCAAUUACAGAAAGUUGAUGUUAAGUUGUUAAGACUUAUCAGCUUACUGCUUAAUUUUGAGCUUUUCUUUAAUGCACUUCUCAGUUUACAAGUCAACAUCAAUUUCUUUUGUUGUAAAAGGUAAGGAAGGUGGCUCAGCUUCGGCUAAAGUGUUUAUAGUCCUUUGCUUCUGCAAUCGGAGAGACUGAGGUCUGCAGCGUAGAUCCUUUGGGUUAGAUACAUUUGUGCUAAGUUACAGCUCUUUAUAGACAACUUGUUGACUAUGUUCAGUCUUGUACUUACUCGCUUAUGCUAUUUUACCUACGCUUAGGAUGUUGAG
Molecule: unclassified non-coding RNA, 1441 nt
Filed under: uncultured Neocallimastigales
Lineage: Eukaryota; Fungi; Neocallimastigomycota; Neocallimastigomycetes; Neocallimastigales
Description: partial contains small subunit ribosomal RNA, internal transcribed spacer 1, 5.8S ribosomal RNA, internal transcribed spacer 2, and large subunit ribosomal RNA
Rfam family: Eukaryotic large subunit ribosomal RNA (bases 669-1441)
Source: RNAcentral